This 27203-nucleotide long non-coding RNA is filed under the name Citrus sinensis (sweet orange). RNAcentral's name for it is "long non-coding RNA (CSIN_LNC003768)". Lineage: Eukaryota; Viridiplantae; Streptophyta; Magnoliopsida; Sapindales; Rutaceae. The record is from RNAcentral.
AUCACGUUGCUUUUGACUUGCACCAUUGAGUUUGCACCAAAAAUUCUCCAAUACACGUCGCUGCUUUGCAAGACAAGAUCGAUCUGAGGCACUGCUGGGCCGACACGUGUGCUGCCAAUGCGGGUAGAAUCAAAGCACGCCCCAAAAGGUGAAACUGAAUCGACUCUAGGCGCAUUAGCCAACUCUUUGGUGAAAGCUUUAACGAAAGCUUCGUAGAUUGAUGACUCCAACACUGUGUAAGGAUGGACGGUGCUGAUCUUGGUUCCGCCGACACCGUUUUUGUCAAUCGAUAGCAAAGAAGUGUUUAACGGGACAACAUGUCCGUUGAUUUUAACGGACUUGACUCCAAUGAAGUAAUCAGUUGAAGGUCGGGGCCUGAAAAGAAGAGUUGCUGUGGACACAGGAUUGAGGAUAAGUGGGGUGUAUACGAGAGACGUGGAAACGUCAACACCAGGGAGCAUCACAUAAGGCCCGUCGCCAAAGAAGACAGCACCGUUAGCUUUGGUAGAAGAGCUCAAGCAAAUGGCAAAUUUUCUAGGAAAGCUGAAAGCAGAAGAGAACAGAGAUGGAAGUGAAAUUGAGUUUCUUCCAAGGCCAGCCAUGCCCCUAACACCGUUAGCCAGAUCUGUCAAAUGAAACCUAUCGGCACACACAAAGAGGAGCUUAGGCACCGAAACAACUCUACCCGGGUUCUUCCCGUUAGUAGACUGGAUAGACGCGACAUCCAUGGACAACGGGCCAUUGAAACUAAUGCCAUUUAUAGUGUUAUCCGGUAAGAGAUUGCAGGUAUUGUUGUUGCAGCCUGGCCUGGGUUGAGAAUCAGAGCAAUCCCAACAAAAUGGAGCAUUAGCAAGAGAGCAUGGAGCGGAGUGGCAAAGGGGAGAUGUGAAGGAAGAUGACUCAUAAUCUUCUAAACAAACCACCCAGAGAAACUGACCACCAAGAUCAAGGGUAUAUUUCACAGGCACAAGUGGGGUUCUUUGGUUGAUUUGAGUGAGGUAUUGGAGAGUUGAUGCAUCUUUGGUUACGGGAAGAAUUAAUGCUUUUGGUCUAAAAGAUGUUUGGGCUAUGCAGGGAGAGAUGAUCACGGAAAGGACAAGUGAGCAAAAGAGAAGAUAGUUGUAAGAGAGAGCCAUAUCUUUGGCUCUAAGUGCUGCGUUGUGGAUAGAGUACUGCGUUGUGGAUAGAGUACUGCGGUAGAGUUGUGAGCAGCCAGCUGAAUUUAUAGUAGAUUUCUGAACGCGUAAAAGCUUUCAAUCAUGACCAAAUCCAAAUUACACAACUUGACAAGUUGUAACAAUUAAUGGGUAUUCUUCAAAUUCUAUAACGGCUGCUAGCUACCAAUUGGCAAAAGCAAUUAAUUGUCUCUGGCUGGCAUAGCUCAGAUCAGUAAACUGGUAAUAACAAGCAGUACGUAAUUUUUCACUUUUGAUGCACAUAUAUAUAAAGAAAAUAAUAUGGUAACAAUUAAUUCUAUUCAUAGAAUUGGUCAAACAGAGUCAUCAAUCAUAAAUUUACGUUGCUUGAUGAAUCGAUGAUCACAGUGUUGCCAACGAUCGCAAUUCUUAGCCCCUGACAGAGAUACAACUAAAAUCAACACAAAGUACGUAACAUAAAGCGAAAAUCCCAUUUACGGUUUGCAAUAACUCUGUUCAUUAACAUUCUUCUCAUGUAGUGGGAUUAAUUUGUGGUAGCUAAGCUAAGCAUGAUUACUGGUACUUCCAUCAUCUACGUAAGGCUUCAUAUUUCAUUUAAUAUGUACGGCUAGGCGACUAACUCCAAACAUUCUAUUUUACAGUUGAUGGAAUGGUUGCUAACCGUAGUGUAGUUGAUGACUAAGCUGGCUAAUUUUUGGGUGCUGAUCUAGACUCUUUCACUUGGUGAGAUUAUGCUGCUCCUGCGGCUGACAUUCUAUCUCUGUCGCACAGGGACGUUAUUAAGGUGCCAUAAUAUCGAUUCUGCUAAGUUAAUUGCCCCUUAUAUUUUUGUUUUCUAAAUUGUCUUGCUUUUUUUUUUUUUGGGUUUUGAGGAUUAUGUCUGGUCUGGUCUCUCCCCCUGCUUCUUUGCUUUGUGUUGCUACUUUCUUUAUUUAUUUUAAUAUAUCUCCCUCAAAUUUUUGAGGUUAAUUCAAAUUAAAAAAAAAAAAAAACUAACCGUAUACUUCAUCGUUUAGGCAACGUGUGAUAUGAAAAUAAACAUUUAUUAAUAUAAAUAUUAAUUCAUACUAACCUUAAUUAGUUAAUUAAUUUUACCAAAUGAAAAAGGGUUUUGGUCAUUUCCUAUUUAGAAGUUAGAAAAGUAUUUUCUAUUUUGAUCAUCAAUUUCUUAUCUCUUUUUUUUUUAAUAAGCAUUACUAAUCCUAAUUAGAAUAGUAUCUUAAUUUUAUAUUGCUAUACAUACACAUAUGACAGAAAAUUAUGAAAAGUUGAGUAUAGAUAAGCUCAACAUGAAUUAAAUCUAUUUUAUAAACCACUCUAAAUUAGUAUAAGCCAAAUGUUAGAGAAAGAUCAAAUCAUAUUAUUGAGAGAAACUAACAAGGAAGACUCAUUUGUGACAUGUGAGAGUAAACAAGAGGUGGGAUUUCCUAAUUAAAAAGAGAGGCUUGCUAGAAACAAAUUCUCCGUACAAGAAUAUGUAAGAUUUGUUGGGUUUUGGUCAAAUAAGAAUAAAAAAUCUAAUUGUGAAAAGUGAUCACAACGAAUCACUUAUAAAAAAUUACAAUAUUUGGUGGUAUCUCGGUGUUUAGAAGUCUAUAUAAGGACAAGGGAGAUGGCUUUCAAUAAUAAUCUCAUUCUUUAAAAAAAAUAUUGUAUAUUUUUGUUACAACAAUUCUUAUCCUUAUCAAUUUCCUACAAGAACAGAAAAUUUGCUAGAUAUAAAGUGUUCAUAUUCUCUUAGUGAGUUCUUCACUUUUGCUUGGUGCAUAUCACAUUAAAGACUUGUCAUAUCCUAGUAGAGAUUGCUUAUAGGUUAAGAGACUUGCCGGUAAACCUAUAAGCAAUCUCUACCAAGAUGGGACAAAUAACGCUUAAGAGAAGCAUAUUCGAUACAUGUUUCAAGUCUCCAUCUACUCCUGCUGUUAUUUUUAACAAAGGUCCCUACACAAAAUUCAAGAACCCAUUGUUCACCAGACGGUUGGACAAGUUUAGGCAAUACGGAUUGUGGGAACGAUCUGAAGAUUUUUGUCCCAAAUCCCAAUGAUGAUAUCCCAUACACCAUUGGCGUCAGCAAUAACACUCGAGAAUGGUUCUUUGCUCAUGUUACUAGCAAAGUUGGAAAUAGCACAUUCCAACCUACCCACGGCAGAUUAUAUUUCAAUUGGAGAACGUCAGCAGCAAAGGAAAUUACACACUCCAAUUGGCCUUGUCAGCAGCUUCAUACUCUAAUUUACGGCUUCAGUUUAAUUUCAAUAUUUGUCAAAGAGACAGGCGACCUCUAUUCUCGACGGGGACAAUAGCAAAGGACAAUGCCAUUGCUAGACAUGGGAUUCAUGGCUUGUGUAGAUUUUACGUCAUCAACGUGCCAAGCUAUUUGCUUUACAGAGGAAACAAUACAAUCUAUCUUACUUAGUCAAGAAAUAACAGUCAAUAAAUAACUGACCCUUCCUAGGGGUCGUGUAUGAUUCUAUUGGCUUUGGAGAACCACCAAAUUCCAACGACAGAAAGUAGAUUAUAUUCUAGAGGCAUUAAAAGAUGAAAAAUUACCAUGUAUAAAGAAACUGAAGCACCUAUAAGUCGUUUUGUCAUUUUUCUUCUUUUCUUAAAUUGAAGUACGUACAAGUUUAAAAAAUAAAUAAAAAAAUAGACGAUAAAUAUAGUAUAACUUUGUUAAAUUAAUAAUUUUGAUUAAAAACUUUAAUGAAAUAAUAGUUUUUGUCGGUCCCAACUUAGGGCUAGCAUGAUAAAUUAAUAAUUUGAUAAAUUUAUUAGAUAAUAAAUUUUUCAAAAAAAAAUCAUUUUCCUAUAGGACCCAAUUAAUACAUAAAUUAAUUAAUACUUAACUAAUUUAAAACUAAGUACGUAUGAUAUGUUUAUGAUUUUCUUUGUUACACAUAUAUAAUGUUUUAUGCAUUUCAUUAGUCAUUGUUGCUUUCAUUAUACUUUUCAAAUGAGAACUAAUUUUUGUACUCCAUAUAGCUAUGUUAAGAGAGGUAAAGAAGAGAUCGACUUAAUAUAUAACCUCCCAAAAACCUUCUCUAUGUUUUAUCAUGUAAUCGUCAUCGAGCCAAAUAAUUAUCAAAUGAUUGAUUCAAUCAUUCAAAAUCAAAUGAGAAUGGUGUCUUACAGCUUGAUAGAACCACUACAUUAUCUAAUUACACUGCCUUUAUAUUUCAUUAAAAUUCCUAUUAUGAAUGAGAUAUUAUCUUUAUAAAUUAGCAAGUAAUAGAUUUAUUGAUAUACUAAUAUUUGCUAAAUAUAUUUUUCAUAGUUCCAAAAUUAUUAAUUUUUAUCAAGGUUCUAUUCUAUAUUAUUAAAAGUAAGUAACAAAUCUUUGAUGAAGUACUACGAUUUCCGGUAGAAAAAGCUAUGAGACGAAUUUUUGUGGGUUCUUAUAAUGUAUUAGUUCCUCGUGAAUAUGUCCAUACCAAUCAACUAAAAUAAAAAUAAAAAAUUUAAUAUCUAAAUGCUUAUUUAAAAGGUGGUAGUUUGUGUUAGUUUUCUCCGAAAAACCUUAACUAUGUAUUUUAUUUUCUGAAAAUAUUCUUAAAAAUUUCAAAUCUGAAAAAAAAAAUUGAAAGAAUGUUUUGAACCAGAUUAAAAGAAAGAAGUUUACAAUAAUUUUUUCAUAUUUGAAUGUCAUGUAUAUAACGGAAUGAAAUUAUUAUGGGAGAGAAAUUAAAGUCUCACGUAGAAUUUUUGUGUUUGAGAAGACUAAAAAUUUGUAAAAUAUAACUAAAUUAAGAAAAAAAGGUUAUUUUUUCGUAACAUAUAUGUAUUUUUUUUUAUAUUACUUUGUUGUUAACAUUAAACAAAUAAAAAUAUGAUAACCAAAAAAAAUUUAUUAGCAUUUACGCGGCAUGACUAUUUGUUUGAAAUUUGGGAAAGACAACGAAAAACAUGAUGCAAUAUAGCACAGCAUUGUAUUCUCGACUCACACCGAAAGCCAAACAAGGAAAAGUUUUAUUGGAAAAACAGAAAUGUAAUUAACCACGUGACAAUUUAUUUAUUACAUAAUCUUGAAACUGAAAUACGCAAACAAUUGCUAAUCAAGCAGUAGAUGUGAAGUUAAAAUUGGAACAUGUUGUCCGACGGAACAGGAGAGAAGAGCUGAAGCCUAGCCUUGAUGUGGCCAAAUCAAACUGCAGAAGAUUGUCUUCCAAUUGAUGUCCUCCGAUCACAAUUGAAGUCCUAGGAUUCACUCCACCGUCCACAAAACCAAGGCACAUCACGUUGCUUUUGACUUGCACCAUUGAGUUUGCACCAAAAAUUCUCCAAUACACGUCGCUGCUUUGCAAGACAAGAUCGAUCUGAGGCACUGCUGGGCCGACACGUGUGCUGCCAAUGCGGGUAGAAUCAAAGCACGCCCCAAAAGGUGAAACUGAAUCGACUCUAGGCGCAUUAGCCAACUCUUUGGUGAAAGCUUUAACGAAAGCUUCGUAGAUUGAUGACUCCAACACUGUGUAAGGAUGGACGGUGCUGAUCUUGGUUCCGCCGACACCGUUUUUGUCAAUAGAUAGCAAAGAAGUGUUUAACGGGACAACAUGUCCGUUGAUUUUAACGGACUUGACUCCAAUGAAGUAAUCAGUUGAAGGUCGGGGCCUGAAAAGAAGAGUUGCUGUGGACACAGGAUUGAGGAUAAGUGGGGUGUAUAUGAGGGACGUGGAAACGUCAACACCAGGGAGCAUCACAUAAGGCCCGUCGCCAAAGAAGACAGCACCGUUAGCUUUGGUAGAAGAGCUCAAGCAAAUGGCAAAUUUUCUAGGAAAGCUGAAAGCAGAAGAGAACAGAGAUGGAAGUGAAAUUGAGUUUCUUCCAAGGCCAGCCAUGCCCCUAACACCGUUAGCCAGAUCUGUCAAAUGAAACCUAUCGGCACACACAAAGAGGAGCUUAGGCACCGAAACAACUCUACCCGGGUUCUUCCCGUUAGUAGACUGGAUAGACGCGACAUCCAUGGACAACGGGCCAUUGAAACUAAUGCCAUUUAUAGUGUUAUCCGGUAAGAGAUUGCAGGUAUUGUUGUUGCAGCCUGGCCUAGGUUGAGAAUCAGAGCAAUCCCAACAAAAUGGAGCAUUAGCAAGAGAGCAUGGAGCGGAGUGGCAAGGGGGAGAUGUGAAGGAAGAUGACUCAUAAUCUUCCAAACAAACCACCCAGAGAAACUGACCACCGAGAUCAAGGGUAUAUUUCACAGGCACAAGUGGGGUUCUUUGGUUGAUUUGAGUGAGGUAUUGGAGAGUUGAUGCAUCUUUGGUUACAGGAAGAAUUAAUGCUUUUGGUCUAAAAGAUGUUUGGGCUAUGCAGGGAGAGAUGAUCACGGAAAGAACAAGUGAGCAAAAGAGAAGAUAAUUGUAAGAGAGAGUCAUAUCUUUUGUUCUGAGUGCUACGUUGUGGAUAGAGUACUGAGCAGCCAUUAUAUUAGAUUUGUGAACGCGUUGAUGCUUUUGUCCACGACUAAAUCCAAUUUAUUCAUCCAUUCGGUGCAGACAGUCUGUAUUUGAAAAAUACACGAGUUGACAAGUCAAAACAAUGGGGCUGCUAACAACCAAUGGACUAAUUUCUAAAAUUAGAAUAAAUAUAGUAUUAUAGUAUAUAUAUAUAUAUACACACACACAUUUAUUUUAAAGAACCAGAUACAAUUGGUGGCUAUAUAAAAUUCAAUUACACAUGUUAUACAUGAAUUAACCAAUUAUAAUACAUCUAAUAUAUCAUAAAAAUUCCUUCUAAGAAAUUGAGUAGAGGUAUUGAUGGGUAGAAUGGAUUCUCCUUUAAAAUGUAUGAAAGUAGAAAUGUAAACUGUAUCAUGGUAGAUUUAAUUUAAAUUUUUAAUCGUAAACAAAAAUUGUAAUACCCAAAAUAUUUAUUUUUUAAAAAAAAAAAAGGCUCAACCGUGGAUAAUCAAUGACUAGCCAUCCCUAAAUCAAUGACUUGGGCCGGUUUCUUUUGGAUCAACUUCAGAAUAGCCCUAGUCUGCUUCUUAAAAAAGGACAAAAAGCUAAGAGUUAUUCUAUUUCCACCCCCUAAAAACACUUAUAAAACCCUCUUUGUUAAUGUUAAUUACAAAAGUAUCCCCGCACAUUUAUUUUUUAGAAUUCUCGAGCCAUUCACUCUCUCCACGCAGUAGCACAAUAAUGCUGCAUUUACCAAACUGUAAUCAGAAUGAGCUGUAAUCGGAAUAGGUAAGAAUGAGAAUAGACUAAAGUUAGAAUGAAAAAUGAGAAUUAAAAUAAAUUAUUUUCUUGAACUAUAGGAAUCGAAAUCGGAAUAAAUUACAUUGUUACAAAUUACUAACAAGUCCUUAAUUAUUGUUAAUAAUAAUAAUAAUGAAAUUAUUGACAAUACUAAUAAUAAUUAAUAAAUUUUAAAUAAUAUUAAUAUUAUUGUCAUUAAUGGCAGUAAUAAUAACAAUUAAAAUAAUAAAAUUAAUAAAUAAUAAUAAUUAAUUAUUGUUAUGAUUUAAUUUCAUUAUUAUUAUAUUAAUGUUAUUUAAAAUAUAUUAUUUUAAUUAAUUUCAUUAUUAUUAUUAAAUAAUGAAGGACCUACUUGCGAAUUAUACAAACUUCAAUUUUUUUAAAAAAAAAAAAUUGGUUACGAGAAGAAUUAAUGCUUUUGGUCCAAAAAAAAUUGGUUACGAGAAGAAUUAAUGCUCUUGGUAGAUAUAAUUUAAAUUUCUAAUUGUAAACAAAAAUUGUAAUACCCAAAAUAUUUAUAAAAAAAGUUCAACCAUGGAUAAUUAAUGACUUGGGCCGGUUUCUUUUGGAUCAACUUGAGAAUAGCCCUAGUCUGCUUCUUAAAAAAGGGCAUAAACGCUAAAGCUAAGAUUGAUUCUAUUUCCACCCCUUAGAAACACUUAUAAAACCCUCUUUGUUUAUUUUAAUUACAAAGGUAUCCCUGCACAUUUAUUUUUGAGAAUUCCCGAGCCAUUCGCUCUCUUCUCACGGAGUCACGGUAGCACAAUAAAUCUUAAUUUCCUCUCUAUAUGACCUUAAUUUUCUCUCCUUAUAAAUUUCUCGACAAAUUUUUUUAUUUUUAUUUUUAUGUGUCCUAUAAUAUAAAUUAUUUGAGCACUUUUUCAUACCUUGUUUCAAAUCAUUUUCCUUCAUUUUCAUUUCUCAACCAAAUCUCAUAAGAUCUUGACUUUGUCUCUUUUAAAGAGAAUUUAACAUUCACCCUUUAACCAAACUUUUUUAAAAUUAAUAUACUUUCUUGCGUGAAUUGUUAUAAUUUUAUUGCAGUUUGGAUUGUUUCCUAUAAUCUAAGAAGCACUAUGCUCUCGAUUCUCUUCCCUUUCCAGAAACUUAAAGUUUCAAAUGUAUAUAUGUUUCAAUGUGCCUCUUUUUUUUUUUGGGUGGGGGGUUCAUAUGUUUGUAUCAAGAUUUCUUACCCUAAUGUACCUAAAUAACUAUGAUUUUUUUUCAUGAAAAUAAACAUGAAAUAGUUUAGCUAUACGGUCUCAUAUUCAUACCGAAUGUUUUUCAGUCGGUUAACACUGAACUUUUUUUUUUUCCUCCUUAGUUCACAUUGGAUUAAAGGGUUAACGUGGAAAUUAAAAAUUAGUUGGUAGCUCGUUAGGUGGAGUUGGUAACUUCGAAUAAUGGGUUCAUUUUCUCAUCACUUGAGAAACCAAAUCCUAUUUUUUUUUAUUCUUUGAUUAAUUUUACUUAAACUUGGCUUUGAUGCAUAUCAAAACCUGUCCAACUUACUCCACCAUAACCGAAGACUGAGUGUGCACUCAACCCACGGACUUGGUGCGUAAUCGCUUUGUUACCGAAACUUAACAAAUUGAAGACUUACUUUGGAUUACCAUUACAAUAUAUUUUUAUGAGAUCAGAAUUCUCCUAUUUGAUUUUUUUCCCUGAGCAAAAGAAAAAUGGUGCUCAGUGAUGAAUGGAUAAGAAUAGAGAAAUAAAUUAAAUAUUAAUUAUUUAAUAUACUUAAAAGCAUGCUGGCCGUAAUUAUUAAAAUUUUACAAGAGGUCAAAUCAUGUAUAACUCUAAUUCAUUUCUAUAACGUAUAAAUAUAAGAUACUAUUAAUAUAAUAUAAUAUCUAUUUAUAAUACUCUUUGAUCCCGCGAUGGAGGUUCAACUCAUUUCAUACAUGUAUUGUGGAAAUUAGUUUUCUUUAAAUUAUUUAACAGUAGAUUUAAUUAUUUUUUACUCAGAUAUUCAUAACUUUCUUAUCACAUUUUUUACCUUAGAUAUUGUAAUGAAAUUAAAAAAUAAAAAUAUAUAUUAUAUUCGUUCACUCUAUUGUUGUGUUGUCUUCUCCAUAUCCAUUUUCUUGCCACCUUCUUUAAUGGAAAAAUUAAUGGAGCAUUAUGGUCCACCGUUUCACUAAAAAGAAAAAAAGUCUCUCUCUCUCUUUCUCUCUCUUCGUUUACAUUAUACAACUCAUGAAUUUUUCUUAAUAUGUGUGGUGCUGAGACAUCAAGAGGGAUUAUGAUUCUCUCCUAAUCUGAUCAUGUGCUGAGCAAAUAACUCAAUUACUGAUUGGUUAUUAAUAAAUAAAUAAAAGUUAAAUCUUACUCAUACACUACCACUAAAAAACACAUGACAAAAUAUCAUUAAAAACUCAGUAAUACUCAGAUCAUGAGAGUAUCAUAUUCCUCAAAUAAGACCAGGCUGGUUUACUGUGCUUAAGUUUGUGCAUUCACAUGAAUGCUACUGAAAGCUCUAUCUCUAUGAGAAAUAUGUCAAUGGGGCUUUACUUUAGCUGUAUUGCCCAUAUUUGCCUUAAUCUGAAAGCAACCCACAACUAAAACAAUUAAAUCGAUAAUUAUUUAAUCAUUCCAGAACAUCAAACCUUUUACUUUUAAUUGCCAGGUUUUGAGUUUUUGAUGAUUCAUAUUUUUCCUGCUUAACUUCAAAUUAACUUAUCAUUCAAAAUCUAGCGAUUCAGAAAGGCACGUACGUUUGUUUGUUGUGUGAAGACAUUUUGCAGAGUUGAAAUGAAAAUCAUUAGUGAAUAGAAUAAUAGAACAUAACAUUAGUAAUAAUAGCCAACGAAAGCUGCCAAUUAUGUUUUACCAAUCAUACCGUUAUUGCAAGAACGUAAAAACUUGGCCUUCAUUAGCCCACACCUAACGCAUUAUCGAUUGAUUUUUUUUUUCCCCUAAACAUUUGGAGUCCAUGAAAAUUAGUUUUGUGAUUUUAGCUACUCUCUGGGCAAACUUAAAAAUACCCAAAUCAUCUAACUGUAUAAUAAUAAUAAUAAUAAUAAUAAUAAUAAAAGGUCCAUUCAAAGGCCAAACGCACGCUAAAAUACCCAAGUCAUUAGUCAUAUAGACAACAAAAGGAAAUAAGAUUUUCUACUGAAAAUGAAGCCUAAAUCCAAUUACAAAGAAAAUGAUAGAUGGAUGCUUUUAGUUGAAUUCACGUUGACAACAAAACUGGCCCUUCGUUUUCCUACAUUAUUAUUCAUAGAAUAGAAAUCUAAUUUAGUGGCAUGCAGUCAGUGUCAUAUGUACAAUCAUACAUCAUAAUUUAUGUGACUAUGCGCACUAAAUUAUAGUCACAUAAAUUAUGUCUGAAAAAAAAAUUAAAAACUGAGUAUCGCCAACGAAAUCAAUUAUUUAUUAAUUAUUUUAACCACCGAAAUAACGAGGGCAAAGCCUUCUUAUUCUGUGUGCUUUCACAAGAUGUCCGGAACAAAACAUCUCAUGUGAUUCCCAAGCGACCAAGCGUGUGUCCCGAACCACCGGGCACAAAACAAUUUGUUGAUAUUACGCAAAAUGACAUUAUUGCCCUCCACCCCACUCGCCGACUGUUCGUUGUUUAUCAAUAGCCUUUUGUCGGUGCCGAUUCAGAACGUCACAGCAUUUUCGUUACGGUCCAGGGUAUUAUUGUCAAUACACAAUGCUUGUUCUUGUCCUCCUGGGCCCUGGCUUUUACGUUUGUUAAUAGGAUUCUCUCCUUCUUUCCCUCGGUCUCUAUUCCCCUCUCCCAUAGGAAAUAGCUACAAGAAAUUUUUAUUUUUUAUUUUUAAAUUUAAGUGAAUUUAGUUAAUUUUAGAAGUACUUUAAUGAAUCUGGAUUGGAUCCGAGAAUAUUUACGACGGCAAAUACGAAAAUAGUUAAUCAAAUAUGUUAAACAAAUUAACACAAAAUUUAAAGUCUAUCAAUCCGUAAUCAAUGAGAAUUAAAAGGUCCGUAUAUAAACGCGGGGGAAAGCAUCUUAUUUUGCAGUCCAUAAAUUUCGGAAAUACUUUAAAUCCCACCAUAAUACAACUAACUGAGAAGAUGGCUCCUUUUUAACUGUCUUCCCACAGCAAUCAAUUCGUCAAUCUCUGCGCUCUCUCCUUUUUGACAGCUCAAAGCCGAACUUCAAUUCAUACAUACCCACACAAAAAGAUAAAAGAAGCCGGGAAAACAAAAAGUAAUCUUUGUUUUUGUUGUUUCUCAUAUCAUAACACCUCUCUCAAAGACUCAAAAACGCCAAGAACUGGAGCAAAAUUGUAUAGUACCGCAGUAACUCAGUAAGUAUUAUUAUUAUAUAGAUUUUCUCGAGAAAACAAACACUUGGGCAGUAUAAAAUUUUCCUGGGAAUGUGUUUUGUCGUCAAAGUUUUUCUUUUUCUCGUAAAAACAAGUCUAAACUUUUUUUUUUUUUUGUCUUUUUGUUUUGUUUGGUUUGGUUGGUUUACAGAUGCCGGAGAAAGUGGCGCUGUCAUCGUCACCAAAGAAGUGGGUUCUUUCGGGUCCCAUGCAUCAAUGGCGAUUUGGUGUACUAACAGCUCUGGUGUUUAUGGGGGUGGUGGUUGUGUGGAGCAUCGAUGGCUGCACUAUUGGUAACUUUGUUCAAGUUUGGAAUCUGAAGCAAGAUCAUUUUGUACCUGUUAGAGCCAAUGCCACUGUUGAUGUAGCGCAAAUCCAGUUAAAUCUUACUGUAAACACCAGCAAUGUUCAAGAUUUACCGACCCAAAAGGAAAAGCCUCAACUAAAUGAUGUAAAAAACUUCACUUCCAAUGAUUCGCCCAGUUUGAAUCUGACUCACUUGAACCAAACGAGUGUGGCGAGUUCUAUUUCCAAGAAUUCAAGCAAGGUAGCUCAACAGAAUCCACUGCAGCAAAAGCCUAGUGGGGCUUUGCCAAAUCGGAGUGAGAGUCCAGUUUUAGAAAGUUUGAAGUGGGUUUCAGUUGAUUUGGAGCCUAACUUGAGUACAAAUCUGCUGGCGCGUUGGUUGGCUCCGGGUGGGGAGCCUUGUAGAGAUUCGAGGACGGUGGAGAUUGCAAUUCAUGGCCUUGAUGGAGGGAAACUGAUGGAGUUGUCGGCUGGAGACAUUCAUGAAUUUCACUUUCAAGCAUUGGGUGAGUCUGGGAAUCCUAGAUGUGUUGGCGGGGAUUACUUUGAGACUGAUCUCUCGGGGGAGUCAUGGAAAUCUCGCCCCGUAGUCAAAGAUUUUGGCAAUGGUACUUACUUGCUUUCGCUGCAGGUUCAUCCUGAUUUCGUUGGUGAUUAUAAUCUAACCGUGAUUUUGCUCUUUAGACAUUUUGAGGGUCUCAAGUUUUCACCAGUUAGGUUUGUUUAUGAUAGGGAAUUAAGGCAUAUACCGAUUAGGUUCUUUAGAAGUAAAGCUCAGUUGCCUGAGAUAAAAGUUUGUCAAAAAUCUGAUUUUAAUAGAGAUAUUUGGUCUGGAAGGUGGACAAGACAUGGAAAGAAUGAUGAUUGUCAAAUUAGCGCUGACGGUAGGUAUAGGUGCCUGGCUCGGGAUUUUCCAUGUCGAAAUCCUUGGUGUUAUGGUUCAUUGGGGUCGAUAGAGAGUAAUGGUUGGGUAUACUCUAGCCACUGUUCGUUUAGGAUGUUUUCAGCUGAUUCUGCAUGGAAUUGUUUGAAAAAUAGGUGGAUUUUCUUCUGGGGUGAUUCGAAUCAUGUUGACACGAUAAGAAACAUGCUCAAUUUUGUCUUGGAUUUGCCUGAUAUAAAAGCUGUUCCUAGGAGAUUUGAUCUUAAUUUUUCAAACCCCAAAGACCCUUCUCAAUCAGUUCGAAUCACAAGCAUUUUCAAUGGUCACUGGAAUGACACGCUAAAUUAUCAAGGGUUGGAUUCUUUGAAAGAUGAAGGGUUUAGGAAUUUGGUAAAGAAAUACUUCUCGGAGGAUACAGUUCCAGACACAGUGAUCAUGAACUCUGGCUUGCAUGAUGGCGUUCACUUUUCUAACAUAAGAGCAUUCAUUAAAUCAGCCAAUUCUGCUGCUUCAUUUUGGAAAGAAGUUAUGGAGUCAAUAAGACGGAGGGGAUUGGUGGUGCCGCAGAUUUUCUACCGGACCACGGUGGCAACUGGUGGGUAUGCACGAUCACUGGCGUUUAAUCCUAGUAAGAUGGAGGCAUUUAAUGGGGUGUUAUUAGACAAGUUGAGGCAGGCUGGGGUGGUUUCCGGUGUGAUUGAUAAUUUUGAUAUGACUUUUCCAUGGCAUUUUGAUAACCGCUGUAAUGAUGGUGUACAUUAUGGCAGAGCUCCAUUGAAGAUGAAGUGGAGGGACGGUCAAAUCGGCCACCAGUAUUUUGUAGACCUCAUGUUAGUUCAUGUGCUGCUCAAUGCCCUAUGUGCACAAUCGUAGCAUUUGAAUCCGAUGUAACUGAGACAUUUAGGAGGUUUUCAUGGAGUAGCACCUGGAUUGCUGCAUUUUAUGACACGCUACAGAAUUUCUGGAAACUCUAGCCAUUGCUAUAGAGUAGGCAUGGUUUCCAGUUGUAAGGCGUGGAGAGACAACUUACCUGGUGUGCAAUGUGCUGGAGACAAAUUUGUGAGGCAGUUAGCUCCAUAUACAUUUUGAUUCUUAUUCACUGCUAGACUAGGAUUGGCAUUCAUUAUUUGUUUAUAGAUUUGUUACCAUGUAUGGUUUUUGAUUCAUUAAGUUCUUAUGCUUGUAGAUUAUGAAAGAUCCUUGAAGUACAAAUAUGUCAGUGAAUAUUGUUUAUAUCAAGUAGUAUAUCCAUUGCAUAUAUGUGGAGAAGGACUGAAAUCUGUACUGCAUUUAACUAUGUGAUGUUGUACUUUUAUAAAUUGUAUUUUAAAUAAUUUUUUGGGUUGUUAAGUGCUGUAGUUCUGCUGUUAAUUGUAUGGAAUCUUAAAAUCUUAGCGCACAGCUAUGAUUUCACAAGAACAAGAAGCAUAUGUCUCUUAGAAUAUUCUGAACUUUGUUGUUUCAUGCUUGUGAUGCAUCCUCAAUAUUCUCCGUAGCAUUGGGAAAAUCGCGAGCGUAAUUCCAAUUAGCAUCUGUGUCUCAAUUACGAAAGCCUUCUUAACGGAGUGUUCAAUGAGCCUAAACUUAUUUUGUACACCACAUUUCAGUAUUAUAUUUGCCGAAUCAUUAGAUACAUAUUAAGUUGUUGGGGAGAACUCGCUGCUUCUCAGCGGCAGCAGUAAAAAUGUUCAGAAUUUAAUAGCUCUAGAUGGAUUAUUUAUUACACUGGCAACUUUUAUAACUGUUUACGGCUUGUUAUUGAUGAGGCAAAUUGUGUGUUGAUAUGGUGCAUUCUUGUUCCUUUUACAUUCUUAUUGGGUUGGACUAAGUCUAUUACACCGCAGCCUUGAUGUAUUGACCCGUUUUUAAAUCUAAACAAGAUGAAAUCUACCCUCGUUCAGAAAAGAUCCCUCAUGGGCUUAGUGUAUUUCACGUUAAAAUGUGAGGAGUUUAAUUUUUGGCAUCCCAGGCAUUGGUAGAGAGAGUACCUUUAGGCUUUAGCACCAAAGAAAGCAGCGUCAAAAGAUGGACAUCAUAUAAAUUUGGUGCGGAAAUGGCUGUUUUUACGCCUUUUUUAAAAAAGUUUCUUCUUUAAUUCCCUUCCCCUUUUUGGUAGAAGUGAAAGUCUCUACUUUUCAACAGGAACGUAAUGAAAGUCGUUAGUAGUAAAUGGCCACUAUGAAUUAGCUUGACAUAGUUGUUCACAAAUUUGAUUAAGCUUUGCACCACCUAAAGCAGCAUGGCUACAUAGCUCCGACAGUCCCACACUAACCUAACUGUUUCUUGAACCCAAACCUGAUCCAUGCAAUUGUAGUUUUCUAGAGUUAUAAUUUUCUUUAGAAAAAAAAAAUAUGUGUGUGUCUAUUACAUUUAUAUUACAAGGGUCUAACAGGAGCUUAAAAUCAUAUAACUAUAAUUAUAAUAAAUCAGAAAUUUAUAUUUUAUAAAUGCGAGAUUGACCAUACACUUAGAAAAAAUAUAUAUAAGGAAGAGUGAGUUUCCAUGAAACUUAAAUUGUUACCGUUCAAGAUAAAUGAAAGAGUGCUUUACUUACACAUAUGCGGUGAUUAAGAGAUGAAUUUUACUACAGGGGUAUCUUAGAAGCAUAGUUAAGUUAUUUUUAUGAGUUAAUUCUUUGUAGAUAAGAGUCUCAAAAGAAUUUGUAUCAAUUGAUUUUGACACUUCGAAAAGUUAAAUAUAUUUAUCCUAGCGUAUAUCUUUCAAAAAAUACAAUGAUCUUUUUUUUACUCUUUAAAGAGUUGUUGUACUCAUUAAGGCUUCGUGACAAGCAAUGAUUUCGAAGGAUGACUUGGAAGUAACGGCAAUUACUCUUCCUUAGAAAAUGCCAUAAAAGUGAAGUGCAAAAAUUUUAAGCUAUUUCUCACAGGUUGCAGUGUUACACGUAGGUACAAAAUUACAAAUAUUUGUUGUACAUGCAUGUAAGAUACACUCUCUUCACAUGAAUAGUGUGUGGGUUCCACACAUAUACUAUUUAUGUGAGGGAAAUGUAUCUUACAUGCAUGUAAGAUAGAGAUUGCCUUUUAUUUGUUUCCUCUGCUUUCACUGCCCAGGAUUAAAUAGAUGCUAACUUGGGCCCAUCAUUAGCAGAAAGUGGGCCAAACAAAAAGCCCAAAUUACCAGUGUUAGGCUCAUGAGAAGAACGGGUGAACUCAAAUAACAUUGGGGUGUAUUACAUAAAUGGGAGCCAUCAAUUAAAUGUUAACAACUCUGCAUACAUAAAUUAGCAAGUCAAUGAAGUGAAAAAUCUAUUAUAAUGAGGGAUGAAAACGUAAAUUCAACUAAUAAUUUGCUUCUAAUAAAGUAACGAAAGGUCAUCUCGCACGCUACUGAAACAAAACUGGUUCUGCUCUUUUAACCAAAACACACUGCGAGCAUCACACACGUUUUGUUUGUUGGAUUGAUGGGAUAAAAUCACAGAACAAUAAAAAGAAAAAUAAAAUAAAAUAAAAUAAAAUAACCAGUUGCAGUUUCAGUUGUUGUUGGAGCGGUGGCGCGUAAAAGAGUGUUUUGUGAGUUAAAAUCUGGCAAAUUUAGGGGGAUUGAGAGCUCGCUUGUCGUUGAAGCAAGCAAACUCCGACUUUGGUGACGACGACGAAGAGUGCAGGCCUUGGCGUCGGAGAUUAUCCAUGGCCUUCACCUGGGGCUCUGCUCUUCGGAUCACGCUUUUGAUUCUCCUCGUUGCCGCUGUCGUCACCGCCUGCUUCACCCUCCCUGUCGAGAAGGUUUCGUUUUUUAAUCUUUUUUUUCUUGGCGGUUUUAUUUGGUUACUUUUGAUUGGGUUUUUGGUGAUUUUUUAUUAUUUGGUUUUUGGGUUUUCAUUCAAAUUCAUUUGCUUUUUUGUUUCCAUUUGAUUAAUGGAUCGGUGAUUAUUUUUAGUGUUUAGUGACAACAGAUCAGUUGUAGGGGAUUUAGGGUUUUGGAUUUAGGUUUCAGGGAUGCAUUUUGACAUUACAUGUAAUUUCUUUAAUUAAACCCUCUAUUCAUGAGAAUUGUAAUGCUAGAUUCUCCCUUCAAAUUGCAGAUUGUGACUAUGUGUUGCCAUUUUUUAAUGGUUUAUUGCAUUAGUUCUAUGAGUUUCUUGGCUGCAAUAAAAGGGUUCUGAACUGGAUCUUGAACCUGAAGCAUUUCGAUGCCUUGAGUUUUCUGCCUGCUAAGUGUAUUUUUUGAGCAGCCUCCAGGCUUUUUUGUUGAAGAAAGUGCUGUGUCUUGCAGAUAUUGAAGGACUUUUUAACAUGGGUUGAUCAAGACCUUGGACCUUGGGGUCCACUUGUGUUGUGAGUUAAUUGCAACUCUUCCGUGUUCAAUGAUUUACUUGUUUACUUAAAUGUCCUUUUUUCUUUUCCCCUUAUUCUUAUUUCUGAUAUGACUUAAUGCUGAGAUGUUUUGACUUAGUAAGAUUUUCUAUGGUUAUAUGCAGGGCUGUUGCAUACAUCCCUCUGACAAUUUUAGCAGUUCCAGCAUCAGUGCUUACCGUAAGCAAUAAUCUCUUCUGUUAAUUUAGCUAGCCUUACUACCUAUCCUUAGUUACUCAACACACAACGCUAAUGCAAAUGUGUAUGGCACUUAAGUUAAUGUGUUUAUCUUAUAUAGGAUGAAAAAAAUCCUCUGAUCAUUUUUUGAAGUGACCUAUACUUGAGUAUGAUGUGGGACGUUAUUUUAGGAUUCUAGAAUUUAAUUAUUUUAGGUCUUUGAUAUUUUCUACUUUAAUUAGGGUCAGUGUCUUAGUCUUUUAUUUCUAUUACAAUUGUUAUUUAGUUUCUCUUUUUAAGUUAACUUAGGGAAGUAGUUUACUCUAUCAUAAAUAGAGGGGUCUUGUUAUUAUUUUCAUAAAUUCAACCUUUGCUUAGUAAAAAACCCAACUCUUUUACCAUUUCCUUUGGGAUUAUCUGUCAAAAUCUCCCUUUUAAAGUCGUUUAGAUUAUAACGUCAUCUAAUAUCGGUUGACGCGUUAUUUAAAAAAAAUCUUGUUGAGUCAUUUGGGUUAGAACGAGAUCUAAUCAUGUUUCGAUUAGAGUAUAACCUAAUCACAUUGGUUUGGUAUGGUACUAUAAUGAUAUCUAGUGUUUUUCUACCGUAUCAAUUCGCGUUUGCUAUGCCACUCCAUCAAAAUAUGCAUGGUUCUAUCAGGUGUUAGAAAUGAACCUAAAUUAUGUUUCGAGAAGAACUAUGUCAUGUCCACAUUAAUAUAUCAAAGGGAAUUGGCAUGUAUAAUAUGUUUUCACUUUUCUGAAAUGAAAAUGUUCUAUCUGCCACAAAAUUUUAUUGUUUAAUGUCGAUAAAUAAACAAUCUAGUAACCAAGGAACCAUGGGCAUUCUCUUCAAAGGCAUUUGAAAAAGUAAAUAACAGUUAAAACCUUUCAGCUAAGCUUUCUCCAAGGUUUUAAUUCCUUGAAAAAGUUAUAAUUUUCUUUUCCCCAAAUUAAAUAUUUUAUUCGUACUUGGAUGUAAUUAUGAUCUUUGUAAUGUACUAUUCUGUUUCUUGGAUUGGCCUAACUACUUUCUUUGUGUCUGGGUCAUACAAAUUAUUGUGAAAAUUUAGAUCUUAUGAACUUCUUCUUGUGAAGGGAUCACUAGCCUUUCAACCAUUUAGGCCUUGGUAUUUGAGUCAUAAACCUCUGUUUUAGAGGAAAUGAUGCUGCAUGAUUGCAGCUAUUGCAGAAACUUGAGCAGCAAUUUUAUGUCCUGCUCCUCAGUUCUUGAAUAAUGUAGAUACCUUUAUAAUAUAUAAAUGCAACCUUAUGUGGUACUUGGAAUCCUCCUUUCAGCUUGGUGGUGGUUAUCUUUUUGGGUUACCUGUGGGCUUCGUUGCUGAUUCUAUUGGAGCAACUAUUGGUGCAGGGGCUGCAUUUCUUCUUGGCCGAACUGUGAGUUUAUGAAUUCUUAUGAUGUUAUAUGCAUCACAAAUUCACAAUUUUGCACUUCUAGAUUGAUAUACAUGUUGACAACGAAAUCUAUAUUUACUGGUUCUCUAAUCAUUAUUUACUGAUGAUAGUGAUAGAUUGUUGCCUAAUCAGUCUAUAGCACAUUUGUUUUCCUUCAACAUCUUUUUUUUUUUGGAGAGCUUGAGUUGUGUAUUUGAUAUUGAUUAUGAUUUGUAUUUAAUGUAUCUUAUUCGUGAAUACUUUUCCAGAUUGGUAAACCAUUUGUUAUUUCUAAGUUAAAGGAUUAUCCGCAAUUCCGUUCUGUUGCCCUUGCUAUCCGGAGAUCUGGUUUUAAGGUUUGUGUGCUUUUUAUUGGAUAUCUGGAACUAAAUCUAUGCUUGUGAUCUAUUUUAUUAUCAGAGUUUUGCUAUUUUAAUUAUUAUGUUGCCUAUUUUUCACAAGUAGCUUAUAUUCACAGGAAGGCAAGUAGGUUUAGAAGGCAAGCAGGUUUAGUGGAAUUAUAUAUAUCUCAUUACUAUUUAGUGUCGUAGUGAAUCCUAACCUUAAAUUAGAAUGGAUACAAGUAAUAUCCUUAGUGUUACUAAUUAGAUAUUGAAAUAAUGAUAUGGACAAGAUUUAAAUCAAUGGUAAAAAUAGUGAAUAUCUGGAACUUUGGUGUCUCUUUCUAUAAAUUCUGCACCUGAAGUGCUGGACUCAGAGCUAGAAUCACAAUCUAAAUGUCAAUGUAAUGGCUGUUUGAAAGGGUUUGUCUAUAUAGUCCUGCUGUAACUAAGAAAGGCUUUCUCUACACAGUCCUGCUGUGACUAAGAUUCCGCCUUUUACUAUUAGACAGUUAACAGUUAUGCAGUAAUUUUUAUUCUUUAUAUGUGUGUGAACUGCUGGAUAUUUAACCUGCACUUUCUUAACUUGGUUAACAGAUAGUUUUGCUGCUUCGGCUUGUUCCCUUGCUCCCAUUUAACAUGUUGAAUUACCUCUUGUCCGUGACCCCUGUUCCACUCUUGGAGUACAUGCUAGCUUCCUGGAUUGGAAUGAUGGUAUCUUCUUCCUUAUAGUAUUUACUCUUUAGUUAUAUCGAAUGAUGUGAUGUGUUAAACAAUACUUUAAUUUAUCACAAAUUUUGGAUGUAAAUUUGGCUGCUAAUUAUUUUUCAUCUCUUUAUCUAAUAUGCAGUGUGUAAAAUCUUUGUUCUUGCUUUUGUGUGUGUUAUUGGGCAUCAUAUGCUAGAGUUCAGCUUGCUAAUGUUGGCAUGAUCCAGGUGCAUGGCAUUUUGUUAGCAUUUUAGUGGACCUUGGACGGAACCCUAACCCUUUAUUUCCGAAUUAUUGAACCCUAACCAGUUGGUAUUAUAAGGUGUAUGAAAAUAAUUUGCAAUCUAGAUUUUGGUGGAUAUAUGGGUUGAUUCAGUUCUGUAGCCAUCUAUUUUUUAAACGUCAGAAAUGAAUGGAGAUGCUGCUGUACCGUACAUCCAAAAAAAAAAAGCUCAAUUACCUUUCUCUUUACUAUCUAUAUAUGGUGGUGCACAGCAGAGGUGAAAUUUCAGGCUUUUCUCUAAUCUUCAUAAUAGUUAAUUACAAGAUUUAUUUGAAUUUUAAGGAACAAGUGCUUUCUGCUUAUUGCCUUGAAGAUAUGUGUACAUGGAUGUGUUUCUUCCUCUGUUUGCAUGUGCUUGCUACUUUGCUUGCUUAAGAGUUUUUUUUUUUUGUUCUCCUUAUUUGUUCAGAUUUCAGCUGAGUAACGUCUAUUGUGGUUUCUGUUACAGCCAAUAACUCUUGCAUUAGUAUAUGUUGGAACGACUCUCAAGGAUCUUUCUGAUGUGACACAUGGAUGGAAUGAGUUCUCAAAAACUCGUUGGGUAAGUCUUUUCAGCCUUAUACUUUUUCAGGUUUACUAACAGAUUUUCAGAUUUUGAUUAUAUUGGCUCCUUCCCUGCUGUGCAAUAGUUUUCUUUUUGAUAGUCCAAUUGUGCCAGAGUGGUUCAUUAUUUUAUUUUUCAUGAAUCAAGGAUAUGUUGAUGCUUGUUUUAUCUUGCCAUCUUAUGUUCUGAUUUAUAUGUAUUAUCCAUUGCUCGGUGCAGGCUUUUCUCAUCUUUGGCCUUGUGGUAUCUGGUAAGUUGAAAUAACCUGCAGACAUGCUAAAGAGACCUUUUUUGGGCUUUUUACGCUUUCACUUGCCAAAGUCAUCUGCUACAAAUAAAAAUUAUUCUCCUAAGUUUGAUCCUUUAUUCAGUUGGAGGAAAUAAUAUGAAAUAAAUGCACACGUUAAGUUGGAUAUGAUUUGAUAUAUUUUUCCUAAGGCGAACAUACUAGAUGAGCGAAAAAUUAUGAAUCUUUCUAUUACUGAUAGUGUUUUUCUUCCAUUUAUGAAGGAAACCGUAUUCAGUUUUAGUACUUUGACAUUUGAGGUUGACUUUUGGCUAUAACAUACUAACUGCAAGAUAAAAAGGAAGAGAUGAGAACAUAAAUAAAUAAGUUUAUUCUGAAGCAUAGUUCUCUGUAGUUUCAGAGCUUUCAGCCUCUCUUACCAUCGAUCUUGCCUGCUUAAAACUCUCUGUUUGUAGGUGAAGAGUUGGAAUUUAAAAUGAACUGCAUUAGAUUAUAUACGGCUAUUGACUCUCAAAAUAUUCAGAAAAAAGAAAUGUAAAUAGAGGAAAAUAAUCUCAAAUUGUGUUUAAGCAAUUUUUCUUGUCUAAAAUAGUCUAUUUUCUGGAUAUGUGCAGUAAUUUUAAUGGUUUGUGUCACCAAAGUCGCCAAAGCUGCUUUGGACAAAGCUUUGGCCGAAAAUGAGGAUAUAGAUGCCAUUCUGGGCUCACCAGAGUUGCCAAUUAUGGCUGAACAACCAGUGGAUCUCAACCAACCUCUCAUAAUCAAGAUAGAAGGCAAUGAUGACAGUCAUGAAAAAUAGAUCUUAUAUUUGUUUGUAAAUUCUUUCACCUUUUUUGCAAGUUACAUUCUGCUUAAUGCUUUAAACAUUUGGCAAUUGCCCUUUGUGAUCUGUACAGUUGCAUUACUCCCAAAUGUAGUUUUGGUCCUUUUGGACAGUAGAUGAUUGAUUAAACAACUGAGGAUAUUUUGUUUAAGUGUAGGCUAUUCAAUUAGAAAAUCAAUAAAGUAUACAAUCAAUGAGUUUUUUCUUCACAAUUGCAUCUUGCUUUAGAUUUAUAUCAUAGGAAGCAAUACAAACUGUAAUAUUACUAGCAAUACGUAAUAAUCUCAUUACCUUCAUCCCCUGCUCUCUACUCUCUUUUUGCUUGGAAUAUCUCAUUUCCUGGUUGGAUGGAGCUCUUUGUAUUGUGAAUGGAGUGUUUUCCGGAUUUAUCUUAAUCCUCAUUACUCAUUUCACAUUCCGCCCUGCUGGUUGAUGCGAAUACUAAGCAUAUUCAAAAUUUAAUCUUUCAACAAAUAGAAGACUGUAAAUGGAGAAAUAAUAUUGAGGUUCUUCCGGUUAGUGGCAUCUUUCUCAAUUCAUUUAACUGUCUUUCACUUCCCUUUGAAAAUUGUAAAAAUGAAGGACGACACCAGAGUUUUAUUUGCUGCUGAAAAUAAUGCGGUUGUUAGAUAUGAGCUGAUAGUGUGGGUCCUGCGGAGGUUGGUGAUAGACUAACAGUUAAAUUGGCAGAAAAUCUAUAGCACUUUGGUGAAUACUGAGUUCCAUUGCCGAUGCCACAGCUGUGAUUGAAAGUAUUGAAUGUUAUGUGUUUUCAGAACAUCACUUAUAAAGACAUUGCUCUGGUCUUCAAUUUGAUCCAAAUGAUUCCAAUUGACCUCAUUUUGAGCAACGGAAAAUGCGGCCAUGACCCACCAAUCAGAAUGAGAUGGUGCGGUCCAAAAUGAUGUGCACUUUGGCACUUUGUUAAAGUUGCAGCUAGAUUUCUGGGGAGAAAAAGGUUAUGGUUCGAAACUUGUAUAAAAAUAAUUCCAAUGAUGAAAGGUGAAGCAAAAUCAUCUCAUCCUUCAUCAUGAAUCUUUGAAUAGAUUUUGGGGACUAUUGGUAUCCUUUUUCCUUCCCAAUCAAACUUGGGAAAAGCCAUUUGCUGGCAUUUCAUUAAUUUAUGUUGCUACUUUGUGUUGAAAUUUGGGGGGUGCUGGGGACCAUACCAACUCUUUAGUAAUUCUAUGGUGCUACUCUUUGUAUUAGUUUUAUGUGUUCUCAUUCAUUACGAUUGCAGAAACCAUAAAUCUUUUUGAUUGAGCACAACCUGAUGAUAACAGCCAUUGAUUAAGUAUAAAAGCUAUAGAGACUCGAAGGCAUUGCUGAGUGUCUAUAAAUGCUUUAACUAAAGCUAAAUUGGUGAAAUGAUCUUUUAUUUGUAAAAGAAUGCCUGUGCUUUCAAAGUUGAAGGUAAUUAAAAGCAUCGAGUCCUGCACGGGAAAAAUACCAGGAUUUGGCAUUUUUCCUUUUGGUGGCUGCUUUGAUGGAUGUCGUGAUCAUACUCAGGCAUCGGGAUUCGGGACAAGAAUCUGGAACCUGAGUGACAGGCCCGUGGAGUUGCAGGUAAGGGUGGGAUCAAUACUAAAGAAAGUGCACACUCUGAAGCCGGGCUCCUCAAAGAGGCUGAAAUGCAAGAGCAUAUACAAGGCUUACAUGCCUGGUAGAAACGGCAAUAAUAGCACUAAUGGAGGCAUGAAGAGCUUGCUAUACUACUAUGAUGAGACUUGCCACCCGUACAUCUGGAUACACGACACUGGCAGCGACACGUUGAGGAUGGUGAAGCAACAAUAUCUUAGUCUUGACGACCUCAGAGACUGUUCGGAGAUCAGAGUUUUCCGGGAUCAUCAGCGAGGCUGCAUAUCAGUCCGCAAGAAAUCUAGGCCAGAUUUUUGCUGAAACUCUUUUACUUAUGUGUAAGAUGUUGGUGGUGGAAUUGAUGGUUGUUUCUUUUUUUGGGGUUCUUUCACCUUUGAGUCUUGGUUCUUGCUUCCCUAUUUCUUAUCAUCUGAAUUGCCAGCAUUCAGUUGCUUUUGUUUUGUGAUCAUGCAAUGUGUAAAAGAUUAUAGGGAAUGACGUUAAUACAGCUGUUAUGGGAUUUGUUGUUCUCGGCUGUCAUUUGGAUAUAAUUUGUAUGCUAUAAGCUGCUGCAUUUGACUAACAUUGACUAUGUUUUCUGAGAAUUAGAGGAAAAUUUAAAAAAAAAAAAAAAUUCUCCGCAAAAUGAUAUAUAUAGCUACAAAACGAUAAAAAAAAUUACGAACUCCAAGUAGUUUGUAAUCUUUUGUUAUUUUUGUAACAAGCUGACUGGUUAAAUUCGCAUUUUACAAAUAUAAGAAAUUCCAGAGUAGAGAAAGGACUGAGAAUCACGUGUUGCAAAAUUAUUUUUGUGCCCCCCCCCACCCCAAAAAAAAANNNNNNNUUUUUGCCCCCCCCCCCCCCAAAAAAAAAAAAAAGAAGAAGAAGACGACAUUUUGUCCAUAUGAGUCAACAUUAUUACAUUAUCCCUUCUGUUUUAAGUAUCUUGAAUGGCGCCAUUCUUAUGCUUGUCUUCAGUUAACAAUUAGUGCUCCAAUUCUGCUGACCACUGAGGGUUUUGCUGCUAUGCUCACAUUUCAACCAUCUUUAAAGUUAAAAUUAUGAACUGGGUUGUUUGGAUGGGAAGAAAACAUGAUAAAAGCUGGGUGCAAUGAUUAAAAUAAAUAAAUGGAUAAACGACCCCUAAAAUGAUUUGUAAAUGAAGUAUUGAUAGCUAAAUUGAGACGAUGAUACAGUUGAAAGUAUAAUAAACUAUUCUUUUCUCUUUUACCUUAAAAUUAUCAAAUCUGCUUAUGAGGUUGAUAUUCAAAUUGGUUCAAGAGAUCAUUAGAACUUAUACUUAGUCGUAUUUUAGGAGCAUUGCCCCUUUUGUAUUAGUUCUUACUAUAUAUAUAUAUAUAUUUCAAGUCAAAUGGUUGACCAACCAAUUUGAUCCUCUAAAAUUUAUUAUUAAAAAAAAAACUAUUAGAAGAAUGCCAUUCACACUAAUACAAGAGUUAUAUGUAUCAUAUGUUAUGUGUGUUGUGCUGCUAAAAUCUAUUGACUUUAAUUAGAUGAGUAAAGAGUGGAUUUAGUUCAACUAGUUUCUACAAUUUGUGUCGUUUUAUAUUAUAAUUUUUAGGUUUUAUUUUACUCCGAUCAUCUAUUUUUAUUGAGGAGUAUAACAACAAAUAGAUGUUUUGUCUUUGUAUUGAGCACUAAUAUUUUAACAUCAUCUAAAUACCUUUAGGCCAUAAAAUAGGAUAAUGAUCGUUCUAUAAUAAUAUCGUUAUGUUUGAUUUUGAUUAAACAAUAAUUUGAGUAUCGGAGUGUCUUUUUUCAAGUACUCACCCUUCUGAAAUCAAGAUCAAUGAUUGUAAGAACUCUGUCUAAGUAUAAAUAGUGAUUUUUAGAGGAUAAAGACCUCCCAAAAACACUGUAACACACAAAAUAAGUUCCUACUGUAGUGCUAUAAUUUCUUUCGUUUUAAUGUUUUAUUGAUGGUCAAAUAUAUUAUUUUGAUUGGUAACUUAGCUGAGACCCUCGGCGUAAGUCGCUGUACGUACAAUUAUCGUGUUUCCAGAUUAGUGCACGCGCCGUAAUAAAAAAUGUCAAUGGAGAAACAAGGGAAAGCGAUUUAAAAAAACACGAAAAAAAAAGAAACUUCUGAAGCGCGUGUAAUAGUCUUCCAGAGUUUUUUUCUUCUUUUUAAAAGUCGUGUCUUAAUCAACACGAAGAACAAAUUUUACCAAUUCCUCAUUCAACAACUACUACUGUAACGAAACAAAAAUCAUCACAAAAACACGACUAAUUCUUUAAACAAAUCGUCAAUCUUCUUUUUUUUUCUUUUCUAUUUCAUGAAAAAAUAAUGGGAAUUUCAUGGAGCAACAGAAGAAGAAACAACCACCACCACCAUCAGUUCUUGGCUCCGCCGCCACCGCCUCCUCCUCCGCCACUUCCACCGUACCAAGAACCCACUUUGUACGCCGCAACAAACCCACCUCCGCCACCUGCCCCACAUCCUUAUCAUCCGCCCCACGCGCCGUACCCUGUACCCCCACCACAACCGCCGCCGCAGGCACCCGUAAACCCUUACUAUUAUCACUCACAUGGGUACAAUUCGUGCGGUUAUCCGAAUCCCAUGAUGGGAAGGUUCAGUUAUCAGUUUCAGUACCAGCCUCCUUAUUAUGCCAACCAGGCUCAAUCUCAGGCUCACGGCUGGCCCGCUGCUGCUAGGCAGUCUCAAGUGAGCCCCCCGCCGCCGUAUGUUGAUCAUCAGAGUGCUAAGAAGGUGAGGAACGAUGUGAAUGUGCAUAAGCACACGUUGAAGAUUGAAGUUGAUGAGGAAAACCCGGAUCAUGUGCUUGUGUCUUUUGUUUUUGAUGCCCUGUUCGAUGGGAGGUUAGUGAUUUCUUUCUUUCUUUCUUUUGCCUACAACUUUGUUUUUUCAAAUUUAUUUUUCGGUUUUGUAUUUGUUUUUAUUUGAUUUUAUUCAGUGGGUAUGGUUAGAUUUAGUGUUUUGGAUUCUUUUUUAGCUGAGUCUUUCUCUUGGUUUGGCUGAUCAGAAGAUGUAAGAAAGAAGUGAAAUUGUGAUCUUAUGACGAACUAAUAACAAAAAAGGUUACAAUUUCUUAGUUUUCAUUGAAUUGUCGAUCAUCUGCGUUCAGAAUUCUUCUUUUUCCUCUACGUAAGCAUAGAGAAGAAAAGCUAACUACUGUGGAAGGAUUACUCUAAAGGCAUGGAACUGGGCAGAAUGAGCUGUAGUAGAGAUGAAGUUGGCCAGGGGAUUAUGAUAACCAUUUUCACAAUUUUUGUGGAAAAAUAAUAAUAAUAAUAAUAAAAUGCUUACGCACAAUGCUACAAUGUAGCAUUCUCGUGUAUGGUAUUUGACAAUGAUUCAGGGUUAUGGUUGACACUAUAUACUUAGAUUUGAUUCUUCGAUGAUACAUUGAUUAAUGAUGCCCAUAGAACAAAUGUUUCCUUUUACUUUAUAUUGCCUUGCCUCUUUGUGGUCAUGUGUGCAAGUAGCACAGAUGAUAAGUAUGCUAAAUAGAGAAAAUUGAUAAUACAUAGAUUUGGAGAAAUAUGAACUGGAAUCGAGUUGAAGAGACUCUUCUUGCGGUAAUUUCUCAUACUUUUAAAACUGCAUGGUCGGAAUUCAUAUUAGUGUGUAAUUCAGCCCUUGGCAGUUUUUCACCCUUAUCCUAUUUAGGAAGUGUAAUAUCUAAACAAGAGAAGCGAGGUUUAAGAAAGAGGUAUGACAUUUGGGAUGCAUUUUGUGAUCUUUUGUCAUAGUCACCAGCAGAACAACUUUUCAUUGCUGGCCUUUAGUUUGUUAGCUGCUCUCAUGUUGCCUAGGGCACGGGGACCUUUCUGAUACAUCAAAAUCUACAGUUAUGUGGUCAAGCCUAUGAUAGUUGGAUGUUAUGAUUUCACUUAUGCCUUACUUUUCUUAUCUCCUUUUAUGUUAUGUUCUCUGUCUCCCCAGGAGUUUAAGGGGAUCAUCUUUGUUCCCAACAUUG